RNAcentral lists this transfer RNA (68 nucleotides) under Allobates aff. trilineatus 2 AR-2020. RNAcentral's name for it is "tRNA-Ser". The record is from RNAcentral. Lineage: Eukaryota; Metazoa; Chordata; Amphibia; Anura; Aromobatidae.
GAGUAUGCUAGGCCAUAGUGAGAACUGCUAAUUCCUCAUUUCCAUGGUUCAAUUCCAUGGCUUAUUCA